CGGGGUUAUGACUUGGGGUGAACAACGAGUGGGAACGGAAAUGGACAAUUACUUAACAUUAAAGUAUAUGGAAAUGUCACUCAAAGAUAAAAUGCUAGGAUCAUAUAUGAUCAUUUGGAUACUUAUGAAACAUACACAUAAAGGAGAACUGAUUAAAGUGGUUUAUCCAAUAUCACGUGUCACAACUUCAUAACAUAGAGUUAUCCUAAUCAAAGUGUUUUGCAGCGGAAAACGUGUGAGAUAUACAUAUGAAGAUGUAUACUCAAGGUUACAUUUCUUGAAAUGAUCAAAGGAACACCCGCUCAACACCAUU
RNAcentral lists this long non-coding RNA (313 nucleotides) under Salvia miltiorrhiza (redroot sage). Its description in RNAcentral is "long non-coding RNA (SMIL_LNC003268)". The record is from RNAcentral. Lineage: Eukaryota; Viridiplantae; Streptophyta; Magnoliopsida; Lamiales; Lamiaceae.